RNAcentral lists this ribosomal RNA (465 nucleotides) under Vreelandella stevensii. RNAcentral's name for it is "partial 16S ribosomal RNA". It matches the Rfam family "Bacterial small subunit ribosomal RNA", at positions 338 to 795 of the family's 1533-position model. Lineage: Bacteria; Pseudomonadati; Pseudomonadota; Gammaproteobacteria; Oceanospirillales; Halomonadaceae. The record is from RNAcentral.
CCUACGGGAGGCUGCAGUGGGGAAUAUUGGACAAUGGGCGAAAGCCUGAUCCAGCCAUGCCGCGUGUGUGAAGAAGGCCUUCGGGUUGUAAAGCACUUUCAGUGGGGAAGAAAGCCUUGGGGCUAAUACCCUCGAGGAAGGACAUCACCCACAGAAGAAGCACCGGCUAACUCCGUGCCAGCAGCCGCGGUAAUACGGAGGGUGCGAGCGUUAAUCGGAAUUACUGGGCGUAAAGCGCGCGUAGGCGGUCUGAUAAGCCGGUUGUGAAAGCCCCGGGCUCAACCUGGGAACGGCAUCCGGAACUGUCGGGCUAGAGUGCAGGAGAGGAAGGUAGAAUUCCCGGUGUAGCGGUGAAAUGCGUAGAGAUCGGGAGGAAUACCAGUGGCGAAGGCGGCCUUCUGGACUGACACUGACGCUGAGGUGCGAAAGCGUGGGUAGCAAACAGGAUUAGAUACCCUGGUAGUC